ACUUGAAUAGCUUAUUUUAGAGCGCGACGCUGAAGAUGUCGAUGAGGUUUUUAGACCUUUAAGUA
This 65-nucleotide transfer RNA is filed under the name Heterotermes cf. paradoxus AUS121. Its description in RNAcentral is "tRNA-Phe". The record is from RNAcentral. Lineage: Eukaryota; Metazoa; Arthropoda; Insecta; Blattodea; Rhinotermitidae.